UACGGAGGGAGCUAGCGUUGUUCGGAAUUACUGGGCGUAAAGCGCGCGUAGGCGGCUUUGUAAGUCAGGGGUGAAAUCCUGGAGCUCAACUCCAGAACUGCCUUUGAUACUGAAGAUCUUGAGUUCGGGAGAGGUGAGUGGAACUGCGAGUGUAGAGGUGAAAUUCGUAGAUAUUCGCAAGAACACCAGUGGCGAAGGCAGCUCACUGGCCCGAUACUGACGCUGAGGCACGAAAGCGUGGGGAGCAAACAGG
RNAcentral lists this ribosomal RNA (253 nucleotides) under uncultured bacterium. RNAcentral describes it as "partial 16S ribosomal RNA". It matches the Rfam family "Bacterial small subunit ribosomal RNA", at positions 524 to 776 of the family's 1533-position model. The record is from RNAcentral.